Molecule: long non-coding RNA, 213 nt
Organism: Scomber scombrus (Atlantic mackerel)
Lineage: Eukaryota; Metazoa; Chordata; Actinopteri; Scombriformes; Scombridae
Exons: 3
Source: RefSeq, a predicted model, not a curated record
UUGAUUCACAUGUCGUCAGAGCUGGAGCAGAGCUCAGGGACAAGUGUGUGUAUGAUGUGAAGACGAUAGUACAGAGCAUCACACGCGGAUCCAGAAAUGAGGUGGAUAGACUUCGUGCCAUCUGGGUUUGGCUCUGUCACAACAUUGAGUAUGAUGUAAGCGGGUACCUGGGCCACUCGGAGAAGCUGACCUCCCCGGAGGAGGUGAUAGCGG